GCCGAAGUGGCGGAACUGGUAGACGCGACGGACUCAAAAUCCGUUUCUGGAAACAGAGUGGGGGUUCGAUUCCCCCCUUCGGCACCA
RNAcentral lists this transfer RNA (87 nucleotides) under Oleiagrimonas soli. RNAcentral's name for it is "tRNA-Leu". It matches the Rfam family "tRNA". From Rfam's summary of the family: Transfer RNA (tRNA) molecules are approximately 80 nucleotides in length. Their secondary structure includes four short double-helical elements and three loops (D, anti-codon, and T loops). Lineage: Bacteria; Pseudomonadati; Pseudomonadota; Gammaproteobacteria; Lysobacterales; Rhodanobacteraceae. The record is from RNAcentral.